Molecule: long non-coding RNA, 386 nt
Filed under: Homo sapiens (human)
Lineage: Eukaryota; Metazoa; Chordata; Mammalia; Primates; Hominidae
Description: HSALNT0003334
Source: RNAcentral
UCCCCUACACCCCAGCAGUCAAACCGUACAAGAAAAAGUCGUGUUUCUGUGUCUCCAGGGAGAACUUCAGGUAAAGUGACAAAACAUAAAGGUACUGAGAAAAGAGAAUCCCCUUCACCAGCACCGAAGCCUAGAAAAGUAGAGUUAUCUGAAUCGGAAGAUAAAGGUGGCAAAAUGGCUGCAGCAGAUUCUGUGCAGCAGAGACGCCAAUACAGACGACAAAACCAGCAGUCUUCAUCUGACUCUGGCUCCUCCUCCUCCUCAGAAGAUGAACGACCCAAGAGAUCCCAUGUGAAGAAUGGUGAGGUUGGCAGGCGGCGGAGACAUUCCCCUUCCCGGAGUGCUUCUCCAUCACCACGAAAGCGCCAAAAAGAGACUUCCCCUCG